RNAcentral lists this long non-coding RNA (475 nucleotides) under Olea europaea subsp. europaea. The record is from RNAcentral. Lineage: Eukaryota; Viridiplantae; Streptophyta; Magnoliopsida; Lamiales; Oleaceae.
AAUCACUUUCUGUCAAUUCUCAGUCAUCUAAAAAUUAAGGAAAAAUCGGCGACACGCCAUUUUUUUGAUUGAUCAUCCUGUACAAUCUGCAGUUCCAAUUGGUUGAUAUGUUUGAAUUGUUCUUCACAGUGGCGUUUUCUGCAGUCCCUUUAAUUCUUUACAGCCCUCCAAUCAGAAGCUUGAAUCUAUUUGUGGAGACGAUGAAGGAUAUGUGGACAGAGUCAAGUGUUUAUACUGGCAGGAUGUAUCCUCGUUUGAGGUCUGCUUGUGGUAGGAUUUUGAAUUGCAUACUCAAUAACACUACUAGUUAAAUUAUUUCAUUUUGAAUUCAGAGAUAGAAUUGAACCUACCCAGAUGGGCUCAAUACAUGUAAAUUCUUGGCUCUUUUUUCCCUUUUCAUGUGGGGAUUUAGCUAUCUGCUUGUGUUUUUGGACCGAUUUGUAAUGGGAUUUAGAGGAUGGAUUUGCUGCUGGAG